Molecule: transfer RNA, 74 nt
Filed under: Geotrichum candidum
Lineage: Eukaryota; Fungi; Ascomycota; Dipodascomycetes; Dipodascales; Dipodascaceae
Description: transfer RNA-Gln (TTG)
Rfam family: tRNA
About the family: Transfer RNA (tRNA) molecules are approximately 80 nucleotides in length. Their secondary structure includes four short double-helical elements and three loops (D, anti-codon, and T loops).
Source: RNAcentral
GGUUGUAUAGUGUAGUGGUCAUCACAUCGGAUUUUGAUUUUCCGGGAACCCCAGUUCGAUCCCGGGUACGACCU